Molecule: regulatory RNA element, 170 nt
Organism: Actinobacillus pleuropneumoniae
Lineage: Bacteria; Pseudomonadati; Pseudomonadota; Gammaproteobacteria; Pasteurellales; Pasteurellaceae
Rfam family: Molybdenum/Tungsten riboswitch aptamer (Moco RNA motif)
Source: Rfam
UAACUUACAGGAUACCGAGCUUGUAUGCCUAAGUCUUAGAUAAGGUGUGCAAGCCUGUGGCAAGCGGUUAAAAUUCACAAAAUUUUUGCAAAAUCAGACCGCUUACACACCGGAUAGUAAAGAAAUGCACUAUCCCCUCGUGUUUAGAAAGGUGUCAAAUUCAACUUAAC